ACGCUCGACACCUACGGGGGGCAGCAGUGGGGAAUAUUGCACAAUGGGGGAAACCCGUGAUGCAGCGACGCCGCGUGAGCGAAGAAGUAUUUCGGUAUGUAAAGCUCUAUCAGCAGGGAAGAAAGUGACGGUACCUGACUAAGAAGCACCGGCUAAAUACGUGCCAGCAGCCACGGUAAUCUGAGCGGGCUGGCAAGGC
Molecule: ribosomal RNA, 199 nt
Filed under: uncultured bacterium
Lineage: Bacteria
Description: partial 16S ribosomal RNA
Rfam family: Bacterial small subunit ribosomal RNA
Source: RNAcentral